GACGAACGCUGGCGGCGUGCUUAACACAUGCAAGUCGAACGGAAAGGCCCUGCCUUUGUGGGGUGCUCGAGUGGCGAACGGGUGAGUAACGCGUGAGUAACCUGCCCUUGACUUUGGGAUAACUUCAGGAAACUGGGGCUAAUACCGGAUAGGAGCUCCUGCUGCAUGGUGGGGGUUGGAAAGUUUCGGCGGUUGGGGAUGGACUCGCGGCUUAUCAGCUUGUUGGUGGGGUAGUGGCUUACCAAGGCUUUGACGGGUAGCCGGCCUGAGAGGGUGACCGGCCACAUUGGGACUGAGAUACGGCCCAGACUCCUACGGGAGGCAGCAGUGGGGAAUAUUGCACAAUGGGCGGAAGCCUGAUGCAGCAACGCCGCGUGCGGGAUGACGGCCUUCGGGUUGUAAACCGCUUUCGCCUGUGACGAAGCGUGAGUGACGGUAAUGGGUAAAGAAGCACCGGCUAACUACGUG
Molecule: ribosomal RNA, 468 nt
Filed under: uncultured bacterium
Lineage: Bacteria
Description: partial 16S ribosomal RNA
Rfam family: Bacterial small subunit ribosomal RNA
Source: RNAcentral